RNAcentral lists this ribosomal RNA (253 nucleotides) under uncultured bacterium. RNAcentral describes it as "partial 16S ribosomal RNA". It matches the Rfam family "Bacterial small subunit ribosomal RNA", at positions 524 to 776 of the family's 1533-position model. The record is from RNAcentral.
UACGAAGGGGGCUAGCGUUGUUCGGAAUCACUGGGCGUAAAGCGCACGUAGGCGGAUGUGUCAGUCAGGGGUGAAAUCCCGGAGCUCAACUUCGGAACUGCCUUUGAUACAGCACGUCUUGAGUCCGAUAGAGGUGGGUGGAAUUCCUAGUGUAGAGGUGAAAUUCGUAGAUAUUAGGAAGAACACCGGUGGCGAAGGCGGCCCACUGGAUCGGUACUGACGCUGAGGAGCGAAAGCGUGGGGAGCGAACAGG